ACAGUAGACUAUAGUAUAUCUUCAUGCACUGCAGAAUGUAAUCCCUACUCCAAUGAAACAAUCUUAUCAGUGACUUCUUUACACAGUUUAUGCUGCUAAAGGAAAUAAUGUGUUUAAAACAAUUUUUUUCCCCUCUUUUUUGUAUCAACACACUUAUCCAGAGGGUGAUAGUUCAUGGAUUAUUUCUCAUUUCAUAGUUGAGAAAUGCUAAGAAAAGUGGGUUUAUUAUCCUCUGAAGACAAGGUCUUGUGAUCUUUGUAUAGGUUUACAAUAGGUCAGUGUGUUUGUAAAUCUGUAUGUCCCAAAGCCCAUCUUCCAGUGUCAACUUGCAUGAGGUCCAUGCAUCCAGAAUGAAUAACUGGUUAGUCUGAGGCCAACAUGAGCAAUCUCUUCCCUUAAGGAGCUUCAAGAUAAAGAACUUGGAGUUAAGCUGAGGAGCAGAAUGAUUCUUCUAUAACAUGAAAGCUGCUUCAUAUGUAAGACUUAGACACACCAAAAGAUGAAGCCACGACUUCCAGCAAGGUUUAACUGAUGGACAGAGCCAUUAAUGGCUGAAGAAGCAAGAAUUAAAAAUGAAACAAACUUUAAUGCAGACUGCAGGGAUGCACUAUAAUGGAUAGAUCUCAAGUUUAGGCCCCAGAUGACCCCAUUUUUCCUACGUCAAACCACACUGCGAGACUUCAAAACAGCUCUAUAGAUUCUUGCAUACUAUGUAGAAUCAUAGAAUGGUUUGAGUUGGAAGGGACCCUUAAAGGUCACAUAGUCCAACUCCUCUGCAAUGAACACGGACGCCUACAGCUCCAUCAGGUGCUCAGAACCCUGUCCAGCCUGACCUGGAGUGUCUCCAGUUCUCUUUGUGUAGCUGAUGCUACAAGACACAUCGCUGGGAGAAUGAUAAUAGGAAGACUGAGAAAACACUCAGGUAUGGUAUUCACAAAGUGACGGGAAGAAAGCAGCUCUGUGAAUAGGGAAUGUGAAGGCAGAACUGGGAUGUGUACAUUUUCUUACAUUUGCUUGUAUAUCCCUCUGACUGAGAAUAUAAAAUUUUGAGGAAGAUAAUGAGAGACAGUUUAUCUGAAAAGUGGAGAUAGUGUAGGUUUUGAAACCAAGGAUGAAACUUCCAUUUUGAGGUUCCUACCCAAAUGAAUAAACACAUCCCAGGAGCUGCAUACUUCAUAUACAUUGCAGCAAACAGCUCUACAUUAGCAAACAUUCUUAAAUCUGGGUAUGUACGUCUGACAUGUAGUUUCAAGUCAGACUAACUUUGAACGUAAAUAAAAAAUACUUUU
Gallus gallus (chicken) is the source of this 1289-nucleotide long non-coding RNA. The record is from Ensembl. NCBI's taxonomy places the organism in Eukaryota, Metazoa, Chordata, Aves, Galliformes, Phasianidae.